AACGUAGGAGACAAACGUUAUCCGGAGUUACUGGGCGUAAAGGGCGCGUAGGCGGCCUUCUAAGUCAGACGUGAAAUCCCUCGGCUCAACCGAGGAACUGCGUCUGAUACUGGAAGGCUUGAAUCCGGGAGAGGGAUGUGGAAUUCCAGGUGUAGCGGUGAAAUGCGCAGAUAUCGGGAGGAACACCGGUGGCGAAGGCGGUUCUCUGGGCCUUACCUGACGCUGAGGAGCGAAAGCGUGGGGAGCGAACAGG
This 253-nucleotide ribosomal RNA is filed under the name uncultured bacterium. RNAcentral's name for it is "partial 16S ribosomal RNA". It matches the Rfam family "Bacterial small subunit ribosomal RNA", at positions 524 to 776 of the family's 1533-position model. The record is from RNAcentral.